UACGAAGGGUGCAAGCGUUAAUCGGAAUUACUGGGCGUAAAGCGUGCGUAGGCGGCUUUUUAAGUCGGAUGUGAAAUCCCCGGGCUCAACCUGGGAAUGGCAUCCGAUACUGGGGAGCUGGAGUUUGGGAGAGGGUGGUGGAAUUCCCGGUGUAGCGGUGAAAUGCGUAGAGAUCGGGAGGAACAUCAGUGGCGAAGGCGGCCACCUGGCCUAAAACUGACGCUGAGGCACGAAAGCGUGGGGAGCAAACAGG
RNAcentral lists this ribosomal RNA (253 nucleotides) under uncultured bacterium. Its description in RNAcentral is "partial 16S ribosomal RNA". It matches the Rfam family "Bacterial small subunit ribosomal RNA", at positions 524 to 776 of the family's 1533-position model. The record is from RNAcentral.